RNAcentral lists this ribosomal RNA (1144 nucleotides) under Escherichia coli. RNAcentral describes it as "bacterial SSU rRNA". It matches the Rfam family "Bacterial small subunit ribosomal RNA", at positions 68 to 1206 of the family's 1533-position model. Lineage: Bacteria; Pseudomonadati; Pseudomonadota; Gammaproteobacteria; Enterobacterales; Enterobacteriaceae. The record is from RNAcentral.
ACAGGAAGAAGCUUGCUUCUUUGCUGACGAGUGGCGGACGGGUGAGUAAUGUCUGGGAAACUGCCUGAUGGAGGGGGAUAACUACUGGAAACGGUAGCUAAUACCGCAUAACGUCGCAAGACCAAAGAGGGGGACCUUCGGGCCUCUUGCCAUCGGAUGUGCCCAGAUGGGAUUAGCUAGUAGGUGGGGUAACGGCUCACCUAGGCGACGAUCCCUAGCUGGUCUGAGAGGAUGACCAGCCACACUGGAACUGAGACACGGUCCAGACUCCUACGGGAGGCAGCAGUGGGGAAUAUUGCACAAUGGGCGCAAGCCUGAUGCAGCCAUGCCGCGUGUAUGAAGAAGGCCUUCGGGUUGUAAAGUACUUUCAGCGGGGAGGAAGGGAGUAAAGUUAAUACCUUUGCUCAUUGACGUUACCCGCAGAAGAAGCACCGGCUAACUCCGUGCCAGCAGCCGCGGUAAUACGGAGGGUGCAAGCGUUAAUCGGAAUUACUGGGCGUAAAGCGCACGCAGGCGGUUUGUUAAGUCAGAUGUGAAAUCCCCGGGCUCAACCUGGGAACUGCAUCUGAUACUGGCAAGCUUGAGUCUCGUAGAGGGGGGUAGAAUUCCAGGUGUAGCGGUGAAAUGCGUAGAGAUCUGGAGGAAUACCGGUGGCGAAGGCGGCCCCCUGGACGAAGACUGACGCUCAGGUGCGAAAGCGUGGGGAGCAAACAGGAUUAGAUACCCUGGUAGUCCACGCCGUAAACGAUGUCGACUUGGAGGUUGUGCCCUUGAGGCGUGGCUUCCGGAGCUAACGCGUUAAGUCGACCGCCUGGAGAGUACGGCCGCAAGGUUAAAACUCAAAUGAAUUGACGGGGGCCCGCACAAGCGGUGGAGCAUGUGGUUUAAUUCGAUGCAACGCGAACAACCUUACCUGGUCUUGACAUCCACGGAAGUUUUCAGAGAUGAGAAUGUGCCUUCGGGAACCGUGAGACAGGUGCUGCAUGGCUGUCGUCAGCUCGUGUUGUGAAAUGUUGGGUUAAGUCCCGCAACGAGCGCAACCCUUAUUCUUUGUUGCCAGCGGUCCGGCCGGGAACUCAAAGGAGACUGCCAGUGAUAAACUGGAGGAAGGGGGGGAUGACGUCAAGUCAUCAUGGCCCUUACA